Osmerus eperlanus (European smelt) is the source of this 144-nucleotide small nucleolar RNA. The record is from RefSeq and is a predicted model, not a curated record. Lineage: Eukaryota; Metazoa; Chordata; Actinopteri; Osmeriformes; Osmeridae.
ACAGCACGCUAUUAAAACCUGACACUGAAGCCAAUCGGUGUUGUGGUGUCGGAAGUGUGCUAUAGUGACCUGGCCGGGUUUUCGCUAACACCAUGAGGGCACAUGCCCCAUGACUGGCGUUUGAUAGUGACCUGAGCCACAUUA